GUCGAGCGGUAGAGAGAAGCUUGCUUCUCUUGAGAGCGGCGGACGGGUGAGUAAUGCCUAGGAAUCUGCCUGGUAGUGGGGGAUAACGCUCGGAAACGGACGCUAAUACCGCAUACGUCCUACGGGAGAAAGCAGGGGACCUUCGGGCCUUGCGCUAUCAGAUGAGCCUAGGUCGGAUUAGCUAGUUGGUGAGGUAAUGGCUCACCAAGGCGACGAUCCGUAACUGGUCUGAGAGGAUGAUCAGUCACACUGGAACUGAGACACGGUCCAGACUCCUACGGGAGGCAGCAGUGGGGAAUAUUGGACAAUGGGCGAAAGCCUGAUCCAGCCAUGCCGCGUGUGUGAAGAAGGUCUUCGGAUUGUAAAGCACUUUAAGUUGGGAGGAAGGGCAUUAACCUAAUACGUUGGUGUCUUGACGUUACCGACAGAAUAAGCACCGGCUAACUCUGUGCCAGCAGCCGCGGUAAUACAGAGGGUGCAAGCGUUAAUCGGAAUUACUG
RNAcentral lists this ribosomal RNA (500 nucleotides) under Pseudomonas sp. RNAcentral describes it as "bacterial SSU rRNA". It matches the Rfam family "Bacterial small subunit ribosomal RNA", at positions 61 to 556 of the family's 1533-position model. The record is from RNAcentral. Lineage: Bacteria; Pseudomonadati; Pseudomonadota; Gammaproteobacteria; Pseudomonadales; Pseudomonadaceae.